RNAcentral lists this ribosomal RNA (234 nucleotides) under uncultured bacterium. Its description in RNAcentral is "partial 16S ribosomal RNA". It matches the Rfam family "Bacterial small subunit ribosomal RNA", at positions 265 to 511 of the family's 1533-position model. The record is from RNAcentral.
UGCUACAGGCGACGACGGGUAGCCGGCCUGAGAGGGUGACCGGCCACAUUGGGACUGAGAUACGGCCCAGACUCCUACGGGAGGCAGCAGUGGGGAAUAUUGCACAAUGGGCGCAAGCCUGAUGCAGCGACGCCGCGUGGGGGAUGACGGCCUUCGGGUUGUAAACUCCUUUCGCUAGGGACGAAGCGUUUUUGACGGUACCUGCGGAAGAAGCACCGGCUAACUACGUGCAGA